AUUAAUUUAUAAAAAAAUAAUAAUUAAAAAUUAAAAAUGUUUUAUGGAUAUCUUGAAUUUAAAAAUAAAAAGGACGUAUAAAAACGUAAAGUUAUCAUAAUUUUAAAUAAAAAUUAAAUAUGAUUGAUAAAUAUCCAAAAGGAAAACCUACUAUAAUUAUAGUAUUAUUAUAUUUAUUCAUAAAUUUAAUAAUAAAAACUUAGUAAAUUGAAACAUCUAAUUAACUAAAGGAAAAAAAAAUCAACCGAGAUUCUAUGAGUAAUGGCGAAUGAAAAUAGAAAUUAAGUUUAAAUUAUAUAAAAAAUUAAUAAAAAAAAUUGAAAAAUUUUAUCAAAGAAGGUUAUAAUCCUGUAUAUUAAAAAUAAAUUAUAUAAUUAAAUAAGUAAAAUAAAACACGUGAAAUUUUAUUUGAAUAAAGGUAGACCACUAUCUAAACUUAAAUAUUUUUUAAAUAUCAAUAGUGAACUAGUACUGUAAAGGAAAUGAUGAAAAGAACCAAUUAGGAGUGAAAUAGAACUUAAAAUAAAACAUUUAUAAGCAAUCAGAAUAAUAUAAUAUUAUGAUGAUGUACCUUUUGUAUAAUGGGUCAACGAGUUUUUUUAUAUAGCAAGCUAUAAUAAAUAAAUAAAAGCAUAAAGAAAUUAAAUUAUAAAAAAUAAUAAGUUAUAUAAAAAAGACCCGAAACCAAGUGAUUUAAUCAUAAUCAAGUUUAAAUAGACUGAACUCAUAUAUGUUGUAAAAUAUUGAGAUGAAUUAUGAUUAGGGGUGAAAGGCUAAUCAAACUUGGAAAUAGCUGGUAUUCUGUGAAAUCUAUUUAGGUAGAGUUUUUUAAAAAUAAAUUAUUAUUUAGGGUAAAGCACUUAAUAAACUAAGGGAAUUUAAAAAAAUUUUACUGAAUUUAAUAAAACUUAUAAUAUAAAUAAAUAAAAAUAAAAAAAACAGACAAUAAGCACGAAGGUUUAUAGUCAAAAAGAUAACAGUCUUAAUUAUAAGUUAAGGUUCUUAAAUAAUAAUUAAGUGUAAAAAGAUAUUAUAAUAUUAAGACAACUAAGAGAUGAGCUUGGAAGCAGCUAUUCUUUAAAGAAAUCGUAAUAGAUCAUUAGUUAAUAUAAUAUAAUACUUAUAAUAUAUAGGAUCUAAAAUUAUUUACCAAAACUAUAAAUAUAUUAAAAAAUUAAUAUAUGGUAACAGAACAUUCUGUAAAUAAAUAAAAAUAAAUUGUAAAAUUUAUUGAAUAUAUCAGAAUAGAGAAUGUUGACAUGAGUAACAAAAAAUAAUAAAACAUUAUCACUGUAAGUUUAAGGGUUUCUUAAAUCAUAAUUAAUAAUUAAGAGUUAGUCAGUCCCUAAGAAGAAAGCGAUAGCUAUAAUUAAUGGGUAUUUAAUUAAUAUUUUAAAACAUAUAAAAAUGACAAAUAAAUUUAUUAUUAUUUAUAUUUAAUUGAAUUAUAUAAAAUAAUAUUUAUUUAUCUUCAAGAAAUAAUUUUUAUAAUUGAAUACUGUACUCUAAACCAACACAGGUAAACUAGUAGAAUAUACUAAAGUGAUUAAAAUAAUAAUAUUAAAGGAACUCGGCAAAAUAACUCUGUAACUUAGGGAGAAAGAGUAACAUAAAUUAUAUUUAUGUAUACAAAAUAGAGGAUAGCGACUGUUUAAUAAAAACACAAGGCUUUGCUAAAUUAUAAAAUAAAGUAUAAAGCCUGACGCCUGCCCGGUGUUGUAAAUAUAAAAAGAAAAGUGAAAGCUUUGAAUUUAAAAUCCAAUAAACGGCGGCCGUAACCAUAACGGUCAUAAAGUAGCGAAAUUCCUUGGCGGGUAAGUUCCGUCCUGCACGAAUGGCGUAACGACUUUCCUACUGUCUCUAAUAUUAAUUUAGUGAAUUUGAAUUUUCCGUGAAGAUGCGGAAUACUAAUAACUAGACGGAAAGACCCUAUGCACCUUUACUGAAUUCAUAUAUUGUUUAUAAAAAUUCAUUAUAUAGAAUAGAUGGUAGCUUAGUAUAAUCUUAAUUUAUUAAUUAUUUAUGGCAAUAGUGGAAUACCAUUUUUUGAUAUUUUUAUAACUAAUUUAUAAUUUAUAAUUAAAUUAUAAAAGAUUUUAUGAUUGUUAGUUUAACUGGGGCGGUUUCCUUUUAAAGAGUAACAAAGGAGUACAAAGGUAAGUUCAAAUUAGUUAGAAACUAAUUAAAGAGUAUAAUGGCAUAAACUUGCUUAAUUGAAAAAUUAACAAAUUAAUCAAAGACGAAAGUCGGUCAUAAUGAUCCAAUAAUUCUAUGUGGAAAGGUUAUUGCUUAACGGAUAAAAGGUACGCUAGGGAUAACAGGCUAAUGAUUUUUAAGAGUUCUUAUCGACAAAAUCGUUUGGCACCUCGAUGUCGGCUCAUCACAUCCUGAAGCUGAAGGCGGUUUCAAGGGUACGGCUGUUCGCCGUUUAAAGUGGUACGUGAGCUGGGUUUAGAACGUCGCGAGACAGUUCGGUCCCUAUCUAUUAUUAGUUUAAUAAAAUAAAAAAGAUCUAUUUUUAGUACGAGAGGAUUAAAAUGGAUAUAGCUAUAGUGUAUAAAUUAUUAUGUCAAUAGUAUUAUUUAGUAGCCACCUAUAGAACAGAUAAUUAUUGAAUGCAUAUAAAAUAAGAAUCCUUCUUUUAUUUAUUUUAUUUUAAAGAGUUAUAAAAGAUUAUUAUAAUUUAUAGACUAAAUGUAUAAAUAUUAUAAAAUAUUAGCUAAUUAGUACUAAAACUCUUUUUUUAAUUAUUAUUAUUGGUGUUAUUUAUUU
Molecule: ribosomal RNA, 2772 nt
Filed under: Gefionella okellyi
Lineage: Eukaryota; Malawimonada; Malawimonadea; Malawimonadida; Malawimonadidae
Description: large subunit ribosomal RNA
Rfam family: Bacterial large subunit ribosomal RNA
Source: RNAcentral